UCCUCAGUCUGUCUUGGGUGUCUUGAAUGGU
Molecule: non-coding RNA, 31 nt
Filed under: Homo sapiens (human)
Lineage: Eukaryota; Metazoa; Chordata; Mammalia; Primates; Hominidae
Source: RNAcentral